Molecule: ribosomal RNA, 497 nt
Filed under: uncultured bacterium
Lineage: Bacteria
Description: partial 16S ribosomal RNA
Rfam family: Bacterial small subunit ribosomal RNA
Source: RNAcentral
GAUGAACGCUGGCGGCGUGCCUAAUACAUGCAAGUCGAGCGAACAGACGAGGAGCUUGCUUCUCUGACGUUAGCGGCGGACGGGUGAGUAACACGUGGAUAACCUACCUAUAAGACUGGGAUAACUUCGGGAAACCGGAGCUAAUACCGGAUAAUAUAUUGAACCGCAUGGUUCAAUAGUGAAAGACGGUUUUGCUGUCACUUAUAGAUGGAUCCGCGCCGCAUUAGCUAGUUGGUAAGGUAACGGCUUACCAAGGCAACGAUGCGUAGCCGACCUGAGAGGGUGAUCGGCCACACUGGAACUGAGACACGGUCCAGACUCCUACGGGAGGCAGCAGUAGGGAAUCUUCCGCAAUGGGCGAAAGCCUGACGGAGCAACGCCGCGUGAGUGAUGAAGGUCUUCGGAUCGUAAAACUCUGUUAUUAGGGAAGAACAAAUGUGUAAGUAACUAUGCACGUCUUGACGGUACCUAAUCAGAAAGCCACGGCUAACCACGUG